UCNCUUUCAACAACGGAUCUCUUGGUUCUCGCAUCGAUGAAGAACGUAGCGAAGUGCGAUAAGUAAUGUGAAUUGCAGAAUUCCGUGAAUCAUCCGAAUCUUUGAACGCAAAUUGCACUCUCUGGCAACCCGGGGAGUAUGCCUGUUUGAGGGUCAGU
RNAcentral lists this ribosomal RNA (158 nucleotides) under uncultured Glomus. RNAcentral's name for it is "5.8S ribosomal RNA". It matches the Rfam family "5.8S ribosomal RNA". From Rfam's summary of the family: 5.8S ribosomal RNA (5.8S rRNA) is a component of the large subunit of the eukaryotic ribosome. It is transcribed by RNA polymerase I as part of the 45S precursor that also contains 18S and 28S rRNA. Functionally, it is thought that 5.8S rRNA may be involved in ribosome translocation. Lineage: Eukaryota; Fungi; Glomeromycota; Glomeromycetes; Glomerales; Glomeraceae. The record is from RNAcentral.